Molecule: ribosomal RNA, 372 nt
Filed under: uncultured organism
Description: bacterial SSU rRNA
Rfam family: Bacterial small subunit ribosomal RNA
Source: RNAcentral
CAGAGGUCCCAAGCGUUGUUCGGAUUUACUGGGCGUAAAGGGUGCGUAGGUGGUCGGGUAAGUCUCAUGUGAAAUCUCCAAGCUUAACUUGGAAAUGGCAUGGGAUACUAUUCGGCUAGAGGAUUGGAGGGGGGACUGGAAUUCCCGGUGUAGCAGUGAAAUGCGUAGAUAUCGGGAGGAACACCAGUGGCGAAGGCGAGUCCCUGGACAAUUCCUGACGCUGAGGCACGAAAGCUAGGGGAGCAAACAGGAUUAGAUACCCUGGUAGUCCUAGCUGUAAACGGUGCUCACUUGCUGUAGACGGAAUCGACCCCGUCUGUGGCGAAGCUAACGCGUUAAGUGAGCCGCCUGGGGAGUACGGUCGCAAGAUUA